This 339-nucleotide ribosomal RNA is filed under the name uncultured alga. RNAcentral's name for it is "eukaryotic LSU rRNA". The stretch from base 1 to 105 matches the Rfam family "5.8S ribosomal RNA", at positions 50 to 154 of the family's 154-position model. The record is from RNAcentral.
GAAAUGCGAUACGUAGUGUGAAUUGCAGAAAAUCGUGAACCAUCGAAUCUUUGAACGCAUAUUGCGCUGGAGGCUUUGGCCAACAGCAUGUCUGCCUCAGCGUCGGGUUAAUUCUCGUCCAUUAUCUACCCUUGUGGUAAGUAACUUGGACGGAUCUGGCCUUCUCAGUACCUCCCUCACAGGAGGAGCUGGGUUUGCUGAAGUACAGAGGUUAAUGCAUGAACCCGUGAAGGGCUGCAACUGGUUAGGCAGUAAUGCUAUCGAUUAGUUGUUGGUCUGGGAACAGCAUUCGACCCUCCACAAGGAAACUUACUUAUUUCCUCGACCUGAGCUCAGGCA